CAGUCGCCGCGGGAAUACGGAGGGUGCAAGCGUUAAUCGGAAUUACUGGGCGUAAAGCGCACGCAGGCGGUCUGACAAGUCAGAUGUGAAAUCCCCGGGCUUAACCUGGGAACUGCAUUUGAAACUGUCAGGCUGGAGUCUUGUAGAGGGGGGUAGAAUUCCAGGUGUAGCGGUGAAAUGCGUAGAGAUCUGGAGGAAUACCGGUGGCGAAGGCGGCCCCCUGGACAAAGACUGACGCUCAGGUGCGAAAGCGUGGGGAGCAAACAGGAUUAGAGACCCCGGUAGUCCCUGUCUCUUAUAA
Molecule: ribosomal RNA, 301 nt
Filed under: uncultured bacterium
Lineage: Bacteria
Description: partial 16S ribosomal RNA
Rfam family: Bacterial small subunit ribosomal RNA
Source: RNAcentral